Long non-coding RNA from Impatiens glandulifera, 3422 nucleotides. RefSeq lists it as uncharacterized. Lineage: Eukaryota; Viridiplantae; Streptophyta; Magnoliopsida; Ericales; Balsaminaceae. The record is from RefSeq and is a predicted model, not a curated record. The transcript is spliced from 5 exons.
AUCUUCCCUCUUCUGUAUCUCUCUCUCUUGUUUUUCUUUCUUUCAUAGUUUCAGGGAAAGAAGAAAGAAGGAAACGCUGCAAGAUAUAUCACCAGAGCUCAGUCUGUUAAGUAACUUCAGGUCACCCUAACUAAAUUCAGGAAAUUAUGUGUCCUAAACACUGUUCAUCAAGAACAAAGAUCUGGCAGAACGCUUGCUCACAAGAAAACCUACAUACACUCUGGACAUGCUAAUUAGUAUCCUAAGUUCAUUGAUGCUUUAAGAGACCUUGAUGAUUGUUUUGUUAUGGUACACCUUUUGGCUUCAUUGCCUGCUGUUGAAAGGCAAUACGCGUUUAAGUGAAACGUAUUCAUAGUUGUAGAAGGCUGAAGUUAAGGACAAAAGAUAACUUGGCUAACACCUCAUGCUUUGCAGAAAGUCUUACCUGAUGAUGGGUUGUGGACUACAAAGUCAUGCUCACCUUUUUGGAGUUUUAAGAGUAGUUGGAUUAGAUGGAUCUCAGCUAAAGGGGACAGAACAUGAGUCUGAACUUAGGAUGGCCCAGCUUCAGCACCAACUUCCUUCAAAUGCACCUGGUACAUUAAUGAACCUGGUUGGAGAUCAUUCGGUGGAUGAUGAUGAAUAAACAAAAUAAUGCAAAAUUUUCUUUUAAGAAUGUGAAGUUUUUCCUCGGUCGUGAGGUAAAGCUACUUCGUUACUAAACAAAUCUUACUUCCAAUAUGCAUGACCAGGUUUGUUUGGUUUAGUUAUCUUCCAAGCUUACAGCUAGAUCUACCAUUCAUGCUCUCUUAUUGCUUUUUUUUUAAAUGUUAAAAUUGGUAUAAUAGAGUUGUAUCUAUUAUCACAAGAUAUACAAUUUAUCUAAAGGUUUGUGUAUAUGUUCUAUUUAGUGUUUUUGCUUUACCAUAUGAUGAUUCAUUAAGUUUCUAAGAAGAGAAAAGGGAUGCUAAUUUCUAAUUCCUAGUCAGGUAGUUUUCAUGUUUGUGGGGCUACCUUUUUUUUACAGGAUUUUUAAGGAGUGUUUGAUUUAUUAUUUUCACCUUUGUGUCUCUUUUCAUCUAUCAGUCAAUCUGAUUGAAUGUGUGAGCUGUAUAAAAUUAACGAGGUUUUGUUCUUGUUUUUCAUUCUAUAAUCCUAUAAGAAUCUAUGCAUACAUAUCCAGUGGGGUUCUUCUCAUUAAAUUUUCCAGGAUUUGACUGUCAUCUAUUAGUUUGAAGAACUAAUUUCUUCAAAAACAAUUUCUUAAACAUAUAGUUCUUCACACAUUAAGGUUCCAAGAGAAUCAUUGCUCUUUGUCGUACCUUCUUUUGGUGGUAUUUGUGUCCCGGGAAGGAGAAGGUGCUCCAUUUUCUGAAUCAGACCAGAGUUAUUACUCAUCAGGUCUGCUUCUAUAUUUGUCACCGCACAUGCUGACACACUUAUCAUUCGAUUAAUUAAAAGAAUAGCAAUAGAAAUGUAUGGUAUGAAGAUGAAGCUUUGCUGGAGCUUACCUUGAGUUCUAUAUUCAUUUCAAUGUUUCCAUACAUGAUUGCAUGUCAGAAAAGUAAAAUCCCUAGCUUGUUUUGGAUCUCUAAAACUUGUGGAGAGUUCGGUAUUUUGUGGAUUAUUCUAAUACAAUACAAAUUUCUUUAAGAAGUGAAUCCACAUAUUACAUUUGAACUCACUUAGGAAAACAAUACAAGUGAGGUUCUACUUAUAAUAGUUAAAAGUUAAGUUCAUUUUUUGGGGAAUCACAAUGUGACUACUUUGUGUUAGAAAUAAUUUGGUUCAGAUGAUGUUGUAGUGUUUUUUGGAAAGACAAUUAUAUUUCUGUAGAUCAAUAUAUUGUUGGGAAUGUAGGAUUUCUACAAGUAGAGUAUUUGUUGGAGUUGUUUUCCCAUUAGAAGCUUGCAGAAUGCCUCACCUGCCUAGAUUUAUUUGCUGCCUUAUAAUGUUGUUCCUGAUGUUAAUUGCAUAUUAUACAGUCUCUUUGCAGUAAUUUUGGGUGUUUAUAGGGAUUCAAUUUUUAUGUAAUCGAGGUGAUUUUGUAAGGUAUUUUGUCACAAUCACGAUCCAAUUGAAAAAUCGCCAAAAUUAUAUUGACUAUUUAUUUUAUUGUUGUACGAUUUUUGUUUCUUCAUUUGAUAUGCAUAUUAUUUUCUAGAUCGUUUGCAAUCUUUUGUUUUCAUUUGAUAUAGAGAUUCUUUUUUCUUUUAGGACUUUUGAUAAACACAACAAAUGUAACCAAACAGACCUUGUUAAGUCUUGCAAGCUGCUGCUUCAAUUUGUUCUUUAUUGUUUAUAAUGAAUUGAAUGGAGAAUUCUGUUGUUGCUGACUACUGGCCAUGUUAAUUUAUGUAGAUCGUUGACAGGCCAACGCAGUGGGUGUAUGAUUGUUUUAGUGCAACAAUUAUAUUGCCACUUGAGGAUUAUCUGGUUGGAAGGUAGUUUUAUAUAAUGGAAGGUACAUUCUCUGUUAAAACACUUAUUAUUUCUGUAUCUGGAUCCUUUUCCAGUUAAAGAAACAAAAAUUAAUUUCUGAAAUGUAUUUGACUAAAUUUAGUUUCCAAACGGCUAUGUAAUCUUGCUGAAAAUGGAUCCAGAUUCUAGAUGCAUAAAUAGAAACAAUAAGUGUUUCCAAAUGGGAUAACUUUUAUUUGUACUCGCAUCUUGCUGGUUUAAUAGGAUCUGAAAGUGCGAGUCGGAUCAAUUUUGGCGGGCAACAUUCAAGUCAUUGAGUCCAUGUUACAUAUAGCCUAGAGAUUUAGGAUUUGUAGGAGAAUAACCUUAAGCCUCUCAAAAUAAUAAAAUCAGAUUCAAUACUAGCUUACUCUACCAAUUACCAUUCCACCCUUAUACUAUUGCUGUUACAUAUUAUUCAUUCCAAUACAAUCAAGUCUAACUUAGAGAUUUAGGAUUUGUAGGAGAAUGGUGGAUGAGAAGAGAAUAAGAUAAAACCACUUUUCGUACUAGCUCACUCUACUAAUUACCAUUUUACCCUUAUUGGUAUUACUAAUUACCAUACUACCCUUAUACAACUGCUGUUAGCCUGUUACAUAUUGUUCAUUCCAUUUGGGUGAAUAUGAUGUCUUUAUUUGUUAUAUUUCCCUGUUAAACUGUGUUCCUUGCUAUGCAGAUUUGCAAUCAAAGAAAGGGCAAAAACCCUUAUUAAUUCAAACCCUUCAUUUAUCAUUAUUUUCCCUAUCCAAUCAUCCUAAUUAUUUUUUCAAUAAAAACACAACAUCCACAUUGUUUGGUUGUGCACCAUCUUCAUCAUUCUGCAAAAGUAUGUCAUGAAACCUAAAUAACUGUCUCUAUAGGUUUUUUGAAUUUCAAGGGUUCCUCAAAUAUUUGCAUUUAAAGUAAGAUUUAAGUUGUUGUAGGAUAAUGAACUUUUAUGCAUAACAAUAUUGAUAUCUAUAAAGAGCUGUUAUUUUCUUCUU